RNAcentral lists this ribosomal RNA (200 nucleotides) under uncultured bacterium. RNAcentral's name for it is "partial 16S ribosomal RNA". It matches the Rfam family "Bacterial small subunit ribosomal RNA", at positions 28 to 223 of the family's 1533-position model. The record is from RNAcentral.
GAUGAACGCUAGCGGGAGGCCUAAUACAUGCAAGUCGAACGGCAGCAGGCAUAGCAAUAUGUGCUGGCGAGUGGCGCACGGGUGAGUAACGCGUACGCAACCUACCCCCAACCGGGGCAUAGUCACGGGAAACUGUGAAUAAUUCCGUAUGAGGUUGAGCUACCGCAUGGUGGUUUUACCAAAGUCUCCGGGCGGUUGGG